This 807-nucleotide ribosomal RNA is filed under the name uncultured bacterium. RNAcentral's name for it is "bacterial SSU rRNA". It matches the Rfam family "Bacterial small subunit ribosomal RNA", at positions 8 to 796 of the family's 1533-position model. The record is from RNAcentral.
AGAGUUUGAUCAUGGCUCAGGACGAACGCUGGCGGCGUGCCUAAUACAUGCAAGUCGAACGCACUGACGGAGAACUUGUUCUCUUGACGUGAGUGGCGCACGGGUGAGUAACACGUGGGAAACCUACCCUUCAGCGGGGGAUAACCAUCGGAAACGAUGACUAAUACCGCAUAGACGACAGAACCGCCUGGUUCAAUCGGGAAAGACGGCUUCGGCUGUCACUGAAGGAUGGUCCCGCGCUGCAUUAGCUAGUUGGUAAGGUAACGGCUUACCAAGGCGAUGAUGCAUAGCCGACCUGAGAGGGUGAUCGGCCACAUUGGGACUGAGACACGGCCCAAACUCCUACGGGAGGCAGCAGUAGGGAAUCUUCCGCAAUGGACGCAAGUCUGACGGAGCAACGCCGCGUGUGUGAAGAAGGUUUUCGGAUCGUAAAGCACUGUUAUUAGAGAAGAACAGCCGAUAGAGUAACUGUUAUCGGUUUGACGGUAUCUAACCAGAAAGUGACGGCUAACUACGUGCCAGCAGCCGCGGUAAUACGUAGGUCACAAGCGUUGUCCGGACUUAUUGGGCGUAAAGGGAGCGCAGGCGGUUUGUUAAGUCUGAUGUGAAAGCCCACGGCUCAACCGUGGAACGGCAUUGGAAACUGGCAAACUUGAGUAUAGAAGAGGAAAGUGGAAUUCCAUGUGUAGCGGUGAAAUGCGUAGAUAUAUGGAGGAACACCAGUGGCGAAGGCGACUUUCUGGUCUAUAACUGACGCUGAGGCUCGAAAGCGUGGGGAGCGAACAGGAUUAGAUACCCUGGUAGUCC